AAGGAGUCUAACAUAUAUGCGAGUGUUUUGGUGGCAAAACCAACAGCGUAAUGGAAGUUAACCUAUGCCAGCCCCUAAGGCUGCAGCAUCGACCGACCAUGAUCUUCUGGUGAUGGAUUUGAGUACGAGCAUAUCUGUUAGGACCCGAAAGAUGGUGAACUAUGCCUGAAUAGGGUGAAGCCAGAGGAAACUCUGGUGGAGGCUCGUAGCGGUACUGACGUGCAAAUCGUUCGUCAAAUUUGGGUAUAGGGGCGAAAGACUAAUCGAACCAGCUAGUAGAUGGUUCCUUC
This 290-nucleotide unclassified non-coding RNA is filed under the name uncultured fungus. RNAcentral describes it as "partial contains 5.8S rRNA, ITS2 and 28S rRNA". It matches the Rfam family "Eukaryotic large subunit ribosomal RNA", at positions 668 to 961 of the family's 3401-position model. Lineage: Eukaryota; Fungi. The record is from RNAcentral.